CUUAUCAAGAGCGGUGGAGGGAACGGCCCGAUGAAACCCGGCAACCUGGCGGAAGCUAAGGUGCCAAAUCCGGCGGCAGACGAAAGAUGAG
RNAcentral lists this non-coding RNA (91 nucleotides) under human gut metagenome. RNAcentral describes it as "SAM riboswitch (S box leader)". It matches the Rfam family "SAM riboswitch aptamer (S box leader)". Rfam says of the family: The SAM riboswitch is found upstream of a number of genes which code for proteins involved in methionine or cysteine biosynthesis in Gram-positive bacteria. The SAM riboswitch acts at the level of transcription termination control. The predicted structure consists of a complex stem-loop region followed by a single stem loop terminator region. The record is from RNAcentral.